RNAcentral lists this ribosomal RNA (252 nucleotides) under uncultured bacterium. RNAcentral's name for it is "partial 16S ribosomal RNA". It matches the Rfam family "Bacterial small subunit ribosomal RNA", at positions 524 to 776 of the family's 1533-position model. The record is from RNAcentral.
UACGUAGGUCCUGAGCGUUGUCCGGAUUUAUUGGGCGUAAAGCGAGCGCAGGUGGUUUAUUAAGUCUGGUGUAAAAGGCAGUGGCUCAACCAUUGUAUGCAUUGGAAACUGGUAGACUUGAGUGCAGGAGAGGAGAGUGGAAUUCCAUGUGUGGCGGUGAAAUGCGUAGAUAUAUGGAGGAACACCGGUGGCGAAAGCGGCUCUCUGGCCUGUAACUGACACUGAGGCUCGAAAGCGUGGGGAGCAAACAGG